Molecule: non-coding RNA, 28 nt
Filed under: Mus musculus (house mouse)
Lineage: Eukaryota; Metazoa; Chordata; Mammalia; Rodentia; Muridae
Source: RNAcentral
CACUAUGUGACACAAUCUCCUGUGUGUU